AUGAUGAAGAUGAUUGUGGUAAUGAAUCUUGCAGAUUCGUUGAUAAUGAAGAAGGAUGUUGCCCUGUUACCAAUAACUCUCCAAGCAAAGAUGAUGAUGCGAGUGCUGCGGAGACACUUUUAUUCCGACCGAAGCAUGUCGUCACAGCAGAUUGUUAUAAAAGGAAUGGGUGAGAUGGAUUUAAUAAAGGUUUGGAAAACUUGGAGUCGGGACAUGAAACCUAUCGCAGAAGCAACUUUGUACAUGCUUGAAUCAAAGUUUGACAAAGAGUUUGGAGGUUGCAAAAAUGGCAUCAUGAAGUCAUAA
Molecule: non-coding RNA, 306 nt
Organism: Vicia faba (fava bean)
Lineage: Eukaryota; Viridiplantae; Streptophyta; Magnoliopsida; Fabales; Fabaceae
Source: the annotation of a GenBank genome assembly